Molecule: ribosomal RNA, 1448 nt
Filed under: uncultured organism
Description: SSU rRNA
Rfam family: Bacterial small subunit ribosomal RNA
Source: RNAcentral
GCUACAGGCUUAACACAUGCAAGUCGAGGGGCAGCAUUUUAGUUUGCUUGCAAACUGAAGAUGGCGACCGGCGCACGGGUGAGUAACACGUAUCCAACCUGCCGAUAACUCCGGAAUAGCCUUUCGAAAGAAAGAUUAAUACCGGAUAGCAUACGAAUAUCGCAUGAUAUUUUUAUUAAAGAAUUUCGGUUAUCGAUGGGGAUGCGUUCCAUUAGUUUGUUGGCGGGGUAACGGCCCACCAAGACUACGAUGGAUAGGGGUUCUGAGAGGAAGGUCCCCCACAUUGGAACUGAGACACGGUCCAAACUCCUACGGGAGGCAGCAGUGAGGAAUAUUGGUCAAUGGGCGGGAGCCUGAACCAGCCAAGUAGCGUGAAGGAUGAAGGCUCUAUGGGUCGUAAACUUCUUUUAUAUGGGAAUAAAGUUUUCCACGUGUGGAAUUUUGUAUGUACCAUAUGAAUAAGGAUCGGCUAACUCCGUGCCAGCAGCCGCGGUAAUACGGAGGAUCCGAGCGUUAUCCGGAUUUAUUGGGUUUAAAGGGAGCGUAGGUGGAUUGUUAAGUCAGUUGUGAAAGUUUGCGGCUCAACCGUAAAAUUGCAGUUGAAACUGGCAGUCUUGAGUACAGUAGAGGUGGGCGGAAUUCGUGGUGUAGCGGUGAAAUGCUUAGAUAUCACGAAGAACUCCGAUUGCGAAGGCAGCUCACUAGACUGUCACUGACACUGAUGCUCGAAAGUGUGGGUAUCAAACAGGAUUAGAUACCCUGGUAGUCCACACAGUAAACGAUGAAUACUCGCUGUUUGCGAUAUACAGUAAGCGGCCAAGCGAAAGCAUUAAGUAUUCCACCUGGGGAGUACGCCGGCAACGGUGAAACUCAAAGGAAUUGACGGGGGCCCGCACAAGCGGAGGAACAUGUGGUUUAAUUCGAUGAUACGCGAGGAACCUUACCCGGGCUUAAAUUGCAACAGAAUAUAUUGGAAACAGUAUAGCCGUAAGGCUGUUGUGAAGGUGCUGCAUGGUUGUCGUCAGCUCGUGCCGUGAGGUGUCGGCUUAAGUGCCAUAACGAGCGCAACCCUUAUCUUUAGUUACUAACAGGUCAUGCUGAGGACUCUAGAGAGACUGCCGUCGUAAGAUGUGAGGAAGGUGGGGAUGACGUCAAAUCAGCACGGCCCUUACGUCCGGGGCUACACACGUGUUACAAUGGGGGGUACAGAAGGCGGCUACCUGGUGACAGGAUGCUAAUCCCAAAAACCUCUCUCAGUUCGGAUCGAAGUCUGCAACCCGACUUCGUGAAGCUGGAUUCGCUAGUAAUCGCGCAUCAGCCAUGGCGCGGUGAAUACGUUCCCGGGCCUUGUACACACCGCCCGUCAAGCCAUGAAAGCCGGGGGUACCUGAAGUACGUAACCGCAAGGAGCGUCCUAGGGUAAAACUGGUAAUUGGGGCUAAGUCGUA